CUUGAGAUGAGGGAGCAGAGAUAGAGAGAUUCUCAAAAGACACUGGGCAGCAUUUUCAAGGUUGGACAGAUGAUGUACCAUAGAGGUGCACAAACUGGACAUCCAACCGAUAACUACUGAUUCUCAAGAACUGUGAAGAGCUACCAUCACCCAAGAGAAAACAGAGCCACACAUGGCACCAGAUGCUGCCGGAGAGCCUGGAUAUUCCACGGGUGAAAGGAGACCUGAUCUGCAGCUAUGCCCCGUGUGUGCGUGUGUGAGUGAGUGAGUGAGAG
Molecule: long non-coding RNA, 275 nt
Organism: Carcharodon carcharias (great white shark)
Lineage: Eukaryota; Metazoa; Chordata; Chondrichthyes; Lamniformes; Lamnidae
Exons: 4
Source: RefSeq, a predicted model, not a curated record